ACGAAACUGGUAGAUUCCAGCUCUGAUGACAUUGUUGCCAAAGUUCAGGAAAUUCUUGUUAGCUGCAAAGACAUGAAGUCAUGCUGUGAGGAUAUUAAUGGAAUGGAGAGACCAGAGUUGAGCGCGAAGUGGGUAGCUUUGCUGACAUUUGAGAAAGCUUGCCUAUCUAAGAUAUCAUUUGAAGGUAUUAUAGCUAUCAUACUUUCUGCUAUAAUUUUUCUAUUAGUACUAAACAUUGGUAAGAUUCAAUGUUGUUAAGCAUAGUUACUAAGGCUGCGCCUUAGGUUUAAGGCUCAACAGGCUCCAAC
This 308-nucleotide unclassified non-coding RNA is filed under the name Hevea brasiliensis (rubber tree). The record is from RNAcentral. Lineage: Eukaryota; Viridiplantae; Streptophyta; Magnoliopsida; Malpighiales; Euphorbiaceae.